CCUACGGGAGGCAGCAGGGAGGAAUAUUGGUCAAUGGGCGGGAGCCUGAACCAGCCAAGCCGCGUGAGGGAAGAAGGUACAGCGUAUCGUAAACCUCUUUUGUCAGGGAACAAAGGCGGGGACUAGUCCCCGGAUGAGGGUACCUGAAGGAAACGCAUCGGCUAACUCCGUGCCAGCAGCCGCGGUAAGACGGAGGAUGCGAGCGUUAACCGGAUUUAGUGGGGUUAAAGGGUGCGCAGGCGGCCGGUUAAGUCAGCGGUAAAAGCCCGGGGCUCAGCCCCGGCGAGCCGUUGAAACUGGCGGGCUGGAGUUGGAGAGAAGUACGCGGAAUGCGCGGUGUAGCGGUGAAAUGCUUAGAUAUCGCGCAGAACCCCGAUUGCGAAGGCAGCGUACCGGCUCCACACUGACGCUGAGGCACGAAAGCGUGGGUAUCGAACAGGAUUAGAUACCCGUGUAGUC
Molecule: ribosomal RNA, 459 nt
Filed under: uncultured bacterium
Lineage: Bacteria
Description: partial 16S ribosomal RNA
Rfam family: Bacterial small subunit ribosomal RNA
Source: RNAcentral